Yarrowia lipolytica is the source of this 72-nucleotide transfer RNA. It matches the Rfam family "tRNA". From Rfam's summary of the family: Transfer RNA (tRNA) molecules are approximately 80 nucleotides in length. Their secondary structure includes four short double-helical elements and three loops (D, anti-codon, and T loops). The record is from Rfam. Lineage: Eukaryota; Fungi; Ascomycota; Dipodascomycetes; Dipodascales.
GGGCGUGUAGCACAGUGGUAGCGCGUGGGCUUUGCAUGCUUGAGGUCACCGGUUCGAACCCGGUCUCGUCCA